This 352-nucleotide ribosomal RNA is filed under the name uncultured bacterium. RNAcentral's name for it is "bacterial SSU rRNA". It matches the Rfam family "Bacterial small subunit ribosomal RNA", at positions 917 to 1271 of the family's 1533-position model. The record is from RNAcentral.
GGGCCCGCACAAGCGGUGGAGCAUGUGGUUUAAUUCGAUGAUACGCGAGGAACCUUACCAGGGCUUAAAUGUAGUUGACCGGUCUGGAAACAGACUUUCUCUUCGGAGCAGAUUACAAGGUGCUGCAUGGUUGUCGUCAGCUCGUGCCGUGAGGUGUUAGGUUAAGUCCUGCAACGAGCGCAACCCCUAUUCUUAGUUGCCAGCGGUUCGGCCGGGGACUCUAAGAAGACUGCCAGCGCAAGCUGAGAGGAAGGUGGGGAUGACGUCAAAUCAUCACGGCCCUUACGUCCUGGGCUACACACGUGCUACAAUGGUAGAGACAGAGGGCCGCUAACCCGCGAGGGGGAGCUAA